GAUGAGCUCAACGAGAAC
Molecule: small nuclear RNA, 18 nt
Filed under: Arabidopsis thaliana (thale cress)
Lineage: Eukaryota; Viridiplantae; Streptophyta; Magnoliopsida; Brassicales; Brassicaceae
Description: snRNA_16569
Source: RNAcentral